UACGGAGGGUGCGAACGUUAAUCGGAAUCACUGGGCGUAAAGCGCGCGUAGGCGGUUCGUUAAGUGGGAUGUGAAAUCCCCGGGCUUAACCUGGGAAUUGCAUUUCAAACUGGCGAACUAGAGUGCGGUAGAGGGAGGUAGAAUUUCCUGUGUAGCGGUGAAAUGCGUAGAUAUAGGAAGGAAUACCAGUGGCGAAGGCGGCCUCCUGGAUCGACACUGACGCUGAGGCGCGAAAGCGUGGGGAGCAAACAGG
RNAcentral lists this ribosomal RNA (253 nucleotides) under uncultured bacterium. RNAcentral's name for it is "partial 16S ribosomal RNA". It matches the Rfam family "Bacterial small subunit ribosomal RNA", at positions 524 to 776 of the family's 1533-position model. The record is from RNAcentral.